GAUGAACGCUAGCUACAGGCUUAACACAUGCAAGUCGAGGGGCAGCAUGGUCUUAGCUUGCUAAGGCCGAUGGCGACCGGCGCACGGGUGAGUAACACGUAUCCAACCUGCCGUCUACUCUUGGACAGCCUUCUGAAAGGAAGAUUAAUACAAGAUGGCAUCAUGAGUCCGCAUGUUCACAUGAUUAACGGUAUUCCGGUAGACGAUGGGGAUGCGUUCCAUUAGAUAGUAGGCGGGGUAACGGCCCACCUAGUCUUCGAUGGAUAGGGGUUCUGAGAGGAAGGUCCCCCACAUUGGAACUGAGACACGGUCCAAACUCCUACGGGAGGAAGCAGUGAGGAAUAUUGGUCAAUGGGCGCAGGCCUGAACCAGCCAAGUAGCGUGAAGGAUGACUGCCCUAUGGGUUGUAAACUUCUUUUAUAAAGGAAUAAAGUCGGGUAUGUAUACCCGUUUGCAUGUACUUUAUGAAUAAGGAUCGGCUAACUCCGUG
This 490-nucleotide ribosomal RNA is filed under the name uncultured bacterium. Its description in RNAcentral is "partial 16S ribosomal RNA". It matches the Rfam family "Bacterial small subunit ribosomal RNA", at positions 28 to 507 of the family's 1533-position model. The record is from RNAcentral.